RNAcentral lists this ribosomal RNA (533 nucleotides) under uncultured bacterium. RNAcentral describes it as "bacterial SSU rRNA". It matches the Rfam family "Bacterial small subunit ribosomal RNA", at positions 777 to 1307 of the family's 1533-position model. The record is from RNAcentral.
AAUAGAUACCCAGGUAGUCCACGCCGUAAACGAUGAGUGCUAAGUGUUAGGGGGUUUCCGCCCCUUAGUGCUGCAGCUAACGCAUUAAGCACUCCGCCUGGGGGAGUACGGCCGCAAGGCUGAAACUCAAAGGAAUUGACGGGGGCCCGCACAAGCGGUGGAGCAUGUGGUUUAAUUCGAAGCAACGCGAAGAACCUUACCAGGUCUUGACAUCCUCUGAAAAUCCUAGAGAUAGGACGUUUCCCUUCGGGGAACAGAGUGACAGGUGGUGCAUGGUUGUCGUCAGCUCGUGUCGUGAGAUGUUGGGUUAAGUCCCGCAACGAGCGCAACCCUUGAUCUUAGUUGCCAGCAUUCAGUUGGGCACUCUAAGGUGACUGCCGGUGACAAACCGGAGGAAGGUGGGGAUGACGUCAAAUCAUCAUGCCCCUUAUGACCUGGGCUACACACGUGCUACAAUGGAUGGUACAAAGGGCUGCAAGACCGCGAGGUUUAGCCAAUCCCAUAAAACCAUUCUCAGUUCGGAUUGCAGGCUG